UACGUAGGGUGCAAGCGUUGUCCGGAAUUAUUGGGCGUAAAGAGCUCGUAGGCGGUUUGUUGCGUCGGCUGUGAAAUCCCGAGGCUCAACCUCGGGUCUGCAGUCGAUACGAGCAAACUAGAGUGUUGCAGGGGAGACUGGAAUUCCUGGUGUAGCGGUGAAAUGCGCAGAUAUCAGGAGGAACACCGGUGGCGAAGGCGGUUCUCUGGGAAUGUCCUGACGCUGAGGAGCGAAAGUGUGGGGAGCGAACAGG
RNAcentral lists this ribosomal RNA (253 nucleotides) under uncultured bacterium. RNAcentral describes it as "partial 16S ribosomal RNA". It matches the Rfam family "Bacterial small subunit ribosomal RNA", at positions 524 to 776 of the family's 1533-position model. The record is from RNAcentral.